Molecule: long non-coding RNA, 872 nt
Organism: Acinonyx jubatus (cheetah)
Lineage: Eukaryota; Metazoa; Chordata; Mammalia; Carnivora; Felidae
Exons: 3
Source: RefSeq, a predicted model, not a curated record
GGGAGGAAGAAGUUCCCUUCCCCAUUUCUAUCCCCCGAAAGCUGUUUGUCUGAGCCCUCUAGGGCAGGCAGCCAUCGCCCAGCGCAGCAGAGCAGGGUGAGAAGUCCUUUUUAGGCAAGAUAUUAAAAGGAGUUGGCUGAGCAGAUCUAAAACCCUUGGUCAACAGGGCGGGGCCAGCCCCGGGGCAGAAGUAUUACUUCACAGUUGCAUCGGCUUCCUGUGGCUGCCAAUAGAGGCGGCAUCUGGCAGCCAGCCCACCGCAGAGAAGAGGGAACUCCGCAGAGAAGAAACUAGCAACGAGGCCCCAAAGGUGGAAGUGCAGCCUGAGAAACUUGAGCCAGCCCGGGACUGUGCCGGCCUUGCCACUCACUCUGCAGGGUGUGGCGUGCAGGACCCCUCCGGCUUCACAAGACUGAUAUGCCUCCUGUGACAGAGAAACGGAAGCCCAAGGAGGUGAAAUAACUUGCCCCGGGACGCACAAGCAGGAAACAGAGGAGCCAGGAUUCAAACCCCCUGUGUGGCCAUCCCUGGAGCCCAGACUCUGACCGCAGCAACUUCAGCUUUCAAGUGAAAAUCAAGAUGAUGAGGUAAAGAUACACUGGCCAUAUGGACAAAUCCUCUUGUUUUACAAAAGAAACUAAGGCCCAGAAAUAGACUUUGGAGAUUCCUUUGCUGCAGUCAUUGGGAUGGGAAAGUGAAUGUCCUGCUGCUGAGAAUAUCACAAUGGAUCUGAAAAACUGGGCUUCCAACAUGUAAAACCAGUUUCAAGUUUUCUUUCAUUAGGGCUUCUUAAUGUGUUGGUUUUAUUCCACAAUCAAGUGAUGCUUUAAAUCUUUCAGGCACAGGUUAAUAAAAGUCAUUUUUUCCUCUUG